UUUUGGCGUGGCCUUCGUGAAAUUAUCAUGCGUAGUCGGGAGAGUGAGGGUUUUCUUUGUUCCGGUGAACGGGUUAUCGGUCGUCGGAAAAGGUGGUCGGCAGCGGUCGCCGCCGGUCGGGCGGUAUGACCAACGGGCCAUAAUGGUCCAAACACCGGUGAACCUUCGCAAGAGAUGACGUUCGUUGGCACUGGUUUGGUGGGGGAAAUUGUCGGAUGGAAAGGGGUUCAUGAAGACGUCGGGGAAGA
This 248-nucleotide long non-coding RNA is filed under the name Eucalyptus grandis. RNAcentral describes it as "long non-coding RNA (EGRA_LNC005694)". Lineage: Eukaryota; Viridiplantae; Streptophyta; Magnoliopsida; Myrtales; Myrtaceae. The record is from RNAcentral.